Molecule: long non-coding RNA, 1373 nt
Organism: Cucumis melo (muskmelon)
Lineage: Eukaryota; Viridiplantae; Streptophyta; Magnoliopsida; Cucurbitales; Cucurbitaceae
Exons: 7
Source: RefSeq, a predicted model, not a curated record
UUUCUCCCCUCUUUUCUGCGAUACCCUCCUUCUCACGACUGCCAUUCAACCGAUGAAGACACUUUCAUCUCUAUCCAUCUUCGUUGUCUCUGUUCGUCAUCACCCUCAUCACAUGAUUUCCCUAGAAUAUCCUAUUUUUCGGCUUCAAUCUCUCAGACUUGCAAUAUCCUGGCUUCAUCUAAUCUCUCAUCGUCGUCCACAUGGGUUUUGCUUAGGGUUCAUUGUCUACCAGCUCGUCUCUUUACUUGAAGCUUAUGAUUCGAGUUUUAAUCCCUCACAACAAAGGCUUCUCUUUCUAUUAUUAAAUCCUUCAUUUGCUCGAUGAAAUUGAAAUUAGAGAUUUGCAACUAUAGUCAUGGAACAUUGUACACUACAAGACUGCCUAUUAUUCAUUUUACCUCUCCCCAGGUCAUGGUGGUGUACAAUCCUCUUGGAUGGAUCCGUAACGAUGUUGUUAGAAUACUGCCUCCGCGGUCAGCACCAUCGUCAUCCCUCGUGCCUAGCUCAUGACUAGUCGUUGUCGAAUAUUCAAAGAGAAGAAACAGACUCCUAAAAAAAGCUUAUGAACUCUCUGUUCUAUGCGAUGCUUAAGUUGCUUUGAUCAUCUUCUCCACUCUAGGCAAGCUCUACGAAUUCGGCAGUGCUGGGUUUCAUUUUUUGGGCGAAAUUUGAUCUGUCUUCUUCUUCUUCAUCAUCUUUCAGACCUGAUCUGUGUAUAAAUAUCAAAACUUUAGGGUUUUUAGUUUCCGCCUCUUUAUCGUACCCCUUUUUUGUCUCGUUUUCUUUUCACCCUUUAAUCCUUUGGUAAUUAAUGAGAUCUCCAUUAUUAUAUAUAUUUAACUGAGUUUUGAUUUGUGUGUGUGUGUGUUAGUACUUCCAAAACAUUGGAGCGAUACCAACGUUGUUGCUUCUCUCCUCAACACAAUUUUGCUGAACGAGAAACCCAGAUAUUGCUUGGGUGCCAAACGUAUAUUCAAUAAACUCCAUGAAAAAGCUUUUGUUGUGGAGCUUGAUCUUCGAGGUAUUUAUUUUGUUUAGUUUUGUUGACUAUUUCCAAUAUUAAUAAUUGUUUGAAGAAGCAUUUUCGAGACCUUUAAAAUGUCGUGAUCUUUGAAUUUAUAUAAUUCUGUUUGGUUGCUAGUGGAAAGGGAAUCAUGAUCUUGAGGAGAUAAUUCUGAUUAUAUGAGCCAGUGUAUUGGGAGUGUGUGCGCAUGUGAAUGGGUGGUAACAUUUUGAAAAGUUGUGGUAUAAUUUGAGGUUCAUGUUUAGGGUGGUUGUGCAUUUUUUGCAAAUUAAAAAUGUCAUUUUCUUUGCUAAACAAGUUUGACAAGGUGUUUAGACCUUUUAUUUUCAGUUUCCCUAGAAAUUAGUCA